GGCUCAUCGCAUCCUGGGGCUGGAUAAGGUCCCAAGGGUCGGGCUGUUCGCCCGUUAAAGCGGUACGCGAGCUGGGUUCAGACCGUCGUGAGACAGGUCGGUCUCUAUCCGCUGUGGGCGUUAGGGAUUUGCGAGGAGCUGCCCCUAGUACGAGAGGACCGGGGUGGACAGACCGCUGGUGUGCCAAUUGUCGUGCCAACGGCAGCGUUGGGUAGCCAUGUCUGGCAGUGAUAACCGCUGAAAGCAUCUAAGUGGGAAGCACGCCUCAAGAUGAGAUCCCUGUCUCGGUAACGAGUAAGGUCGCAGGAAGACUACCUGCUUGAUAGGCGGCGUGUGGAAGUGCAGCAAUGCAUGCAGCUAAGCCGUACUAAUGACCGAAGGCUUCUU
RNAcentral lists this ribosomal RNA (387 nucleotides) under Anaerolinea sp. RNAcentral's name for it is "partial 23S ribosomal RNA". It matches the Rfam family "Bacterial large subunit ribosomal RNA", at positions 2534 to 2925 of the family's 2925-position model. Lineage: Bacteria; Bacillati; Chloroflexota; Anaerolineae; Anaerolineales; Anaerolineaceae. The record is from RNAcentral.